UGGCUUGAUUUCCUGGGGGGGUGGUCUCAGCCCACCCCACCUCCCCUCAGCCGAGCCUAGAGUAGAGGGGCCAGGCAUUCUCCCCAGGGGAGAGGUGUUGAAGCAAGGAACCUCUCCUGGGCUGUCCUAGCCUCACAUUU
Macaca mulatta (Rhesus monkey) is the source of this 140-nucleotide non-coding RNA. NCBI's taxonomy places the organism in Eukaryota, Metazoa, Chordata, Mammalia, Primates, Cercopithecidae. The record is from Rfam.